CCAAACUUCCAAUCCCGCUCCCCUCCCCACCCGUAUCGGCGCCGCCACCCACCACUCAGCAGGACCUCGCCGCCGGCCAUGGCCUCCGCUCUCUCCCCUCAUCCCAGGACAGGACAAGACAGGAGGGAGGGAGAUCCAUAUACGCCGCCACGCACCGGCAGACGCCGACAUGGAAGGUGUUUCGUGUGCUUUCUUCUUCCCUUCCCGGGACACUGCUGCUCCGACGCCGUGGACAAAUGUGCUCCGUGUGCUUCCUUCUUCCCUUCUCGGGACACCGCUGCUCCAAUGCCAUGGACAAAAUAUGAGAGAUGAGUGGAGUACCAUACCGCAAUCCAAUGAGCGAAUCGAGGCCAGCUCAGCCCCGUGAGCAAGCAAGAGGCUGCAGCUAUAAGAGAAUGGACACUCGCCUAAGGAUUCUCCCUUAAGGAGAAGAUGGAGCUCUGUGAGCAGUGUCUAUUUUUUGUUGGCCAACGAUGUUCUUGAGAGGAUGCACUCCCGUGUCACUGGCAAGCGGCAUAUUGGUGAUGGUCUGGUUAGGGAUUUGUCGUUGAAUAACUGGCUGCGAGGGAAGCAGAGCAACCACGGGAUAUGCCCCAAGAUCCACGAUCCAGCCCUCAAGCAAAGGUUAUGCCGCAUGUCUCCUGUGCUUCUUCUCCGCCUCUUGCCACAAUGCACUUGAUGAGCCCGAGUCAGAGGUGCGCCAUGAGGAAGGUGUGCUGGACUGCAGGCCACCUGCCCUUGUCGCCGCCCUCGCUGCCCACAGGUCUGACAGUGCCUGCCAUUUAGAAGCUCCGCCUCGUUGCUUGACUCGGCCGCUAGAAGCUCAUCGCUAUCAACCUAGCCGACCCCUGAUUUCGCAGCCUGGGCCUUGGCUCUGGAGUUGUAGGGGCGGACAAUUACCAAGUCGACAAGAUGAACCUAUGACACAAGUACUAAGGAGGUAAUUCUGGUAUUCUUGUUAUGCAGCCUUCUUCUAGUGACCUUUUGGCUGAUUGUUUGAAAAUGCAAUGUCAAGUUAAGAAACUUCCUGCUGAUUGUUUGAAGUAAUUUUGGUCUUAUUAUGCAGCCUUCUUCUAUGGAAGAUGUUUUCUUUAGGACGACAUCUGCUUUGCUUAAAUUGCCGACCUUUUUAGAUUCGUAAAGUUUGACUGUAAUAAAAUUUGGCGUCCUACUGCUGGCCCUACAUCCAGUAAGGAUAGUUCUACUGUAUUGUGGAAAACGUAGUGGAAAACGAAAAAAUCGCCGUAAGAUUACCCAAGAACAAUAUGAAGAUGCAUAUAAGGUUUGGAUCAACGAUCGUUACCGAUUUCGGAGUGUAGCGGAAGUAGACGAGUCGGUGUAGAUCGUACUUGGAGUCCCUUGUCCCGUAGAUGAAUGGCCCCGUGAACCGCCCAUGAAGGAUUCCUCGAACAAAAGACUGAAAGCACGACCUCUCUACUUGAUUGCAAGCGUACGAUCUUCAGGAUUCGGCAGCGCUUUGCCGUCCAGAACUAAUCGUCGCCAA
This is a long non-coding RNA of Triticum aestivum (bread wheat), 1504 nucleotides long. RefSeq lists it as uncharacterized. The transcript is spliced from 7 exons. The record is from RefSeq and is a predicted model, not a curated record. Lineage: Eukaryota; Viridiplantae; Streptophyta; Magnoliopsida; Poales; Poaceae.